GAUGAACGCUGGCGGCGUGCCUAAUACAUGCAAGUCGAGCGAACAGAUGAGGAGCUUGCUCCUCUGACGUUAGCGGCGGACGGGUGAGUAACACGUGGAUAACCUACCUAUAAGACUGGGAUAACUUCGGGAAACCGGAGCUAAUACCGGAUAAUAUAUUGAACCGCAUGGUUCAAUAGUGAAAGACGGUUUUGCUGUCACUUAUAGAUGGAUCCGCGCCGCAUUAGCUAGUUGGUAAGGUAACGGCUUACCAAGGCAACGAUGCGUAGCCGACCUGAGAGGGGGGAAGGCAACAAUGGAAAUGAGAAAGGAUGGAGACGACGACGGGAGGAAGAAGGAGGGAAUCUGAAGGAAGGGGUGAAAGACUGACGGAGCAAUGAAGAGGGAGGAAUGAAGGGCUUCGUAUCGUAAAACGCUGUUAUUAGGCAAGAACAAAGGUGUAAGGAACUAUGCACGCCGUGACGGGACCUAAUCAGAAAGACAAGGCUAAUUACGUG
RNAcentral lists this ribosomal RNA (497 nucleotides) under uncultured bacterium. RNAcentral describes it as "partial 16S ribosomal RNA". It matches the Rfam family "Bacterial small subunit ribosomal RNA", at positions 28 to 507 of the family's 1533-position model. The record is from RNAcentral.